CCGUACCAAGUGUGAUUUUAGUAGUAGAAUUUUCGAUGCAACCCGUACCAAGUGGGAUAUUUUUGCGUGUAUAUUAGUGAAAAUCUUAGGAUUGGCUACUUGAUUUAUACAAUGGUUUAUGCUAUUAGGUGGGUCCGAGCGAUUUCCGUGUAAGUCGAGUUCGCGUAAGGCGGGACAAGAAUCAUGGAUAACAUGAUACGAAACUCCUCCCUUUGCUUUCUGAGACAGCUCAUAGCUGCCAAAGCAAACCACAAGAUCAUGAGCUACUGAACAGAUGAUAAGCAAAAAAAUUAACUGCUAGAUUAAAUACCGUUAAAAAUAACUGACAAAAUCAGUUCAUUAUUAUUUUUCAUAAGAAAGUUAUAUGCUGAAGCAGCAACAGUGAAAGUGAUAUUUUUUUUAAUAAAAUAUAAAAUAUUUGUAAAAGUGUUUUUAUAUAAAACUAGGGGAUCCGACACUUACGCAUUUUUCGCAAAAACCACUUUGAUUGAGAUGUUUUUCCAUCUUAUAGCGUUUUCAAAGGUUCUGGUGGCGGAUUUAGUGAUGGCAGUGAAAUUUUUCCAGAUGCGCAACAUAAACUGGCCGAUUCACUAUUGUAUUCGAAAGCAUGACAAUAUUGACAUUCUUUGUCCAUACUACCAAUCAUGAUUAGCGAAUGUGAUGAAUAGUCUAUUUCAGGGUCAUAUUCAAUCGCAAGGCGAUUAAACGAUACUCGUGCCAGUGCUCGAUGUUUUGCACCCGCUGUCGUUCAUUUACUCUGUGAGCGUCGGUCACUCGUUGACGCGCCUCUCGUUGCCUUAACGUGUUAGCACGAAGACGUUGAUUGCAUUGCUCUGAAUUCUCAUGUGCCAAAGAGAUCAGGAGAUUACUUAUUUAAAAUUUCAAAUGAAAGAAAUGUCAGAGAAAAUAAAUUCUUUAGAGAGGGAAAUUAAAAAUUUAGGAGUGGGUUAUAGUUGUAAAGAAAAUUUAUGUAGAAAUCUUCCUCCUCAUAUAAAAAGUAUUAUAAAAAAUAGUUUAGUAAAUUGUAGCCGUCAACCAAAAGGCCAUAGACAAUUAUUUCUUUAAUUUUGAUAAUCUUUUGUGAUUAAAAUAUACAUAUACAUAUACUUAAAUUUAGACGUCAGAUAGGAAAUCUAGCUUGUUAAACUAAUUUUAAUUAUGUAUAUUUUGUGUAAUAUGGAAACCGAAAAAUACCCAAGAAAUAUAUUUAAAAAUCUCAAAACUUAUUUCAUAUCUUAGUGGCACCACUGUCAAAUGUUAUAAAAUAUGUAGACUUUGACAGCGCUCUCUCGUAUCAAAGAGUUUCGAAUCAUUUUAUCUAUGAUGUCUUGCUCAUGCUUACCAUAUUAUCCCUGCUUACCAUGGUGUUUGGUGGCCAAAAUACAACUUCAACUCAUGGAUCGAAAUUAAUUAGAGUUGCGGGAGGAUGACCUGGUGCAUUGAAUAAAAUGAUGGCCAAACUAGUCUUCAAAAAGAGAAGAUGUCACCUAAGCCUUCGCAUUAGCCUUCCAAAUGGCAGGCGAACCAGCUUUGGAUUUAUAUUUUAAGGCUCUUGGAUUUUCUGAGAGAUAAACUAAGAUAGGUUUCAAUUUACAAUCUUCUCCUGCAUUCGCACCAACCAUCACUGUCAAUCGAUUCUUGGCGGCUUUAAAACCUGGAAUUUCCUCUCCACGUGCAAUAAAAGUUCUUUUAGGCAUUUUAUUCCAAGAAAGACCGGUUUCAUCGGUAUCUGUUUUGAGUUUUUCUGAAUAGAGAGAUGCAACUCUUUAUCAGCGCUUGCCGCUUCUCUACUCUCUGCGAUGCUAUGCCAAUUACAAGGGCUCUUAAUCGGCUGAACCAUCCGUUACUAGCUUUAAACACUUAAUUUUUAGCCGCCUCCCCAACUUCUACUUUUUGUUUUUCAAAAGUCUGCUUUGCUUGAACGCACACCGUAUUUUGAUUAACAGGACAAUUUUAGCAUAAAACGGGGUAUUACUGUAUAGUAAUUGUUUUAUUUUGUUUUUAUUUUUUUAUGUAAAUUUUUGAGGGGCUAUGCAACUGAAUUUUCUAAUAUAUUUUACAGCUGUCAUUAAAUGUUCUAAUAAGAAACUAAUCAAUACUCCUUAUUUUGGUAAAGCUUAAGAAUUUAAUUGACAAAUGGUUGCUAACCAGAUAUUGAGAAAAGCAUUUUUCAAAAUGUUACCGAUAAAGUUCUAAGCGCUUAACCAGACAAUGAGAAAACGGUCUUAAGCAGCAUUUAAUAUUUCGUGCAUUUAAAAUUGUAUUUAAGAUAAGAUUAUGGACGAGUUGAUAACGUUAAUUAUUUUAUUAGUAAAUCAGUUAUUUCGGUGUUCAAAA
This is a non-coding RNA of Bactrocera oleae (olive fruit fly), 2337 nucleotides long. NCBI's taxonomy places the organism in Eukaryota, Metazoa, Arthropoda, Insecta, Diptera, Tephritidae. The record is from RefSeq and is a predicted model, not a curated record.